This 324-nucleotide ribosomal RNA is filed under the name uncultured eukaryote. RNAcentral's name for it is "partial 18S ribosomal RNA". It matches the Rfam family "Eukaryotic small subunit ribosomal RNA", at positions 1470 to 1795 of the family's 1831-position model. The record is from RNAcentral.
CCCUUAGAUGUUCUGGGCCGCACGCGCGCUACACUGAUGCAUUCAACGAGCCUAUCCUUGACCGACAGGUCCGGGUAAUCUUUGAAUCUGCAUCGUGACGGGGAUAGAUUAUUGCAAUUAUUAAUCUUCAACGAGGAAUGCCUAGUAGGCGCAAGUCAUCAGCUUGCGUCGAUUACGUCCCUGCCCUUUGUACACACCGCCCGUCGCUCCUACCGAUUGGGUGUGCUGGUGAAAUGUUCGGAUCGGCCGUUUGUCGCGGUUUCCGCGUCAUGUGGCUGAGAAGUUCAUUAAACCCUCCCACCUAGAGGAAGGAGAAGUCGUAAC